Molecule: ribosomal RNA, 466 nt
Filed under: uncultured bacterium
Lineage: Bacteria
Description: partial 16S ribosomal RNA
Rfam family: Bacterial small subunit ribosomal RNA
Source: RNAcentral
GACGAACGCUGGCGGCGUGCUUAACACAUGCAAGUCGAACGGUAAGGCUCCAGCUUGCUGGGGUACACGAGUGGCGAACGGGUGAGUAACACGUGGGUGACCUGCCCUGCACUUCGGGAUAAGCCUGGGAAACUGGGUCUAAUCCCGGAUAGGACCAUGGUGUGGAUACUGUGGUGGAAAGUUUUUUCGGUGUGGGAUGGGCCCGCGGCCUAUCAGCUUGUUGGUGGGGUAAUGGCCUACCAAGGCGGCGACGGGUAGCCGGCCUGAGAGGGUGGACGGCCACAUUGGGACUGAGACACGGCCCAGACUCCUACGGGAGGCAGCAGUGGGGAAUAUUGCACAAUGGGCGGAAGCCUGAUGCAGCGACGCCGCGUGGGGGAUGACGGCCUUCGGGUUGUAAACUCCUUUCACCAUCGACGAAGGGUUUCUGACGGUAGAUGGAGAAGAAGCACCGGCUAACUACGUG